CGGACGGGUGAGUAAUGUCUGGGAAACUGCCCGAUGGAGGGGGAUAACUACUGAAACGGUAGCUAAUACCGCAUAACGUCGCAAGACCAAGAGGGGACCUUCGGGCCUCUUGCCAUCGGAUGUGCCCAGAUGGGAUUAGCUAGUAGGUGGGGUAACGGCUCACCUAGGCGACGAUCCCUAGCUGGUCUGAGAGGAUGACCAGCCACACUGGAACUGAGACACGGUCCAG
This 229-nucleotide ribosomal RNA is filed under the name uncultured bacterium. Its description in RNAcentral is "partial 16S ribosomal RNA". It matches the Rfam family "Bacterial small subunit ribosomal RNA", at positions 99 to 334 of the family's 1533-position model. The record is from RNAcentral.